UUCACCUGUUUAUCAAAAACAUCUCUUUAUGAAUAAAAUAUAAAGUUUAACCUGCCCACUGAAUAUUAAGUGGCUGCAGUAUAUUGACUGUACAAAGGUAGCAUAAUAAUUAGUUUUUUAAUUGAAAACUGGAAUGAAUGGUUGGAUGAAAUAUAAACUGUUUUAAUUAAGAUUAAUUUGAAUUUUAUUUUUUAGUAAAAAAGCUAAAAUUUAUUUAAAAGACGAGAAGACCCUAUAAAUCUUUAUAUAAAAAUUUUAAUUUUAAUUAUUUAGAUGAUUUAAUUAAUUAAUAUUUUUAUAUUUUAUUGGGGAGAUAGUAAAAUUUAAUAAACUUUUAUUUGUGAUUUCAUUAAUUUAUGAAUUGUUGAUUAAUUUUUAAUGCAUAAUAAAAUAAGUUACUUUAGGGAUAACAGCGUAAUUAUUUUGGAGAGUUCAUAUUGAUAAAAUAGAUUGCGAC
Molecule: ribosomal RNA, 457 nt
Filed under: Penicillidia monoceros
Lineage: Eukaryota; Metazoa; Arthropoda; Insecta; Diptera; Nycteribiidae
Description: partial large subunit ribosomal RNA
Source: RNAcentral